Molecule: long non-coding RNA, 263 nt
Organism: Girardinichthys multiradiatus
Lineage: Eukaryota; Metazoa; Chordata; Actinopteri; Cyprinodontiformes; Goodeidae
Exons: 3
Source: RefSeq, a predicted model, not a curated record
UCUUCCUGCAAGCGCUGGAGGUGCAUGACACCUUUGUACCUCACGUCAUAACAGCAUGCACCAUCCUCCACAACAUCUGCCUUGGUGCUGGGGAUGUCAUGGCCCCAGAGGAGGCUGUAGAAGAGGAUGAGGUCGGGACUGAGACAUUCAGCAUUGCUCUCUGGCAGGACCAGCUUUCAGCUGAGGUGUCUGCCCUGGAGGAGUGAUGUGGCAGCCGUCAAUCCAGCCAGCCCUUUAAACCCACUUGAUGGACGAUGACGUGG